This 492-nucleotide ribosomal RNA is filed under the name uncultured bacterium. RNAcentral describes it as "partial 16S ribosomal RNA". It matches the Rfam family "Bacterial small subunit ribosomal RNA", at positions 29 to 507 of the family's 1533-position model. The record is from RNAcentral.
AGUGAACGCCGGCGGUAGGCCUAACACAUGCAAGUCGAACGGCAGCACAGUAAGAGCUUGCUCUUACGGGUGGCGAGUGGCGGACGAGUGAGGAAUACAUCGGAAUCUACUUUUUCGGGGGGGAUAACGUAGGGAAACUUACGCUAAUACCGCAUACGACCUACGGGAGAAAGCAGGGGAUCUUCGGACCUUGCGCGAUUGAAUGAGACGAUGUCGGAUUAGCUAGUUGGCGGGGUAAAGGCCCACCAAGGCGACGAUCCGUAGCUGGUCUGAGAGGAUGAUCAGCCACACUGGAACUGAGACACGGUCCAGACUCCUACGGGAGGCAGCAGUGGGGAAUAUUGGACAAUGGGCGCAAGCCUGAUCCAGCCAUACCGCGUGGGUGAAGAAGGCCUUCGGGUUGUAAAGCCCUUUUGUUGGGAAAGAAAAGCAGCAGGUUAAUCCCCCGCUGUUCUGACGGUACCCAAAGAAUAAGCACCGGCUAACUUCGUG